Molecule: ribosomal RNA, 508 nt
Filed under: uncultured bacterium
Lineage: Bacteria
Description: partial 16S ribosomal RNA
Rfam family: Bacterial small subunit ribosomal RNA
Source: RNAcentral
GAUGAACGCUAGCUACAGGCUUAACACAUGCAAGUCGAGGGGAAACGACAUCGAAAGCUUGCUUUUGAUGGGCGUCGACCGGCGCACGGGUGAGUAACGCGUAUCCAACCUGCCCACCACUUGGGGAUAACCUUGCGAAAGUAAGACUAAUACCCAAUGAUAUCUCUAGAAGACAUCUGAAAGAGAUUAAAGAUUUAUCGGUGAUGGAUGGGGAUGCGUCUGAUUAGAUUGUUGGCGGGGUAACGGCCCACCAAGGCUACGAUCAGUAGGGGUGCUGAGGGGAAGAACCCCCACAUUGGAACUGAUACGCGGUCCAACCUCCAACGGGAGGCAGCAGUGAGGAAUAUUGGUGAAUGGGCGAGAGCCUGUACCAGCCAAGUAGCGUGCAGGAUGACGGCCGUAUGGGUUGUAAACUGCUUUUAUAAGGGAAUAAAGUGAGCCUCGUGAGGCUUUUUGCAUGUACCUUAUGAAUAAGGACCGGCUAAUUCCGUGCCAGCCGCCGCCGUAA